Grus americana (Whooping crane) is the source of this 478-nucleotide long non-coding RNA. RefSeq lists it as uncharacterized. NCBI's taxonomy places the organism in Eukaryota, Metazoa, Chordata, Aves, Gruiformes, Gruidae. The record is from RefSeq and is a predicted model, not a curated record. The transcript is spliced from 4 exons.
ACCGGAGUGACAGCAAAGGAAAGGCGGAGAGCGGGAGAAAGAAGCGUCUGCGCUGGCAAGCUCUCCCGGCAGCGCCGAGAGCCAGAGCUGCGGUGCUGCUGCGCCGAUGCUCCGUACGUUCGCAGUAACGGGUAGAGCGGAAGGCUCCGUGGCCAGGGAAGAGCGGCACGGACACGUUCCUGCUCGCUCCGUUGCACCGGAAUUUCGACGGCUGGGUUCGGCCGCUAAAUUGAUGGCGCUACCGGAAGAAAUUUCAGAAAAAAAGGGUGGCUUUUUCGUCGAUCUCUUUGUGAGAGUAUCAAAUCAGGCGGCGGUAAAUACGUAGAAGCAACUAGGCGUACUACGGCGUGUACCGGACAGCGUUGGCGUGCCGCUCUGCUAGCAGCGGAGAGCCAGAUGAGGAUGCCCGUGAUAUGAGAAAAGCUCUGUCCAGAGAUAUGGAGACGAAAUCAGUUGUACCUCACCCUGUGACACCGAA